GAUCCUGGCUCAGGACGAACGCUGGCGGCGUGCUUAACACAUGCAAGUCGAACGAGAAUCUGUGGAACGAGGAUUUCGUCCAAGUGAAGCAGAGGACAGUGGCGGACGGGUGAGUAACGCGUGAGGAACCUGCCUUUCAGAGGGGACAACAGUUGGAAACGACUGCUAAUACCGCAUGACACAUUGAAGUCGCAUGGCUUUAAUGUCAAAGAUUAUCG
RNAcentral lists this ribosomal RNA (218 nucleotides) under uncultured bacterium. RNAcentral's name for it is "partial 16S ribosomal RNA". It matches the Rfam family "Bacterial small subunit ribosomal RNA", at positions 15 to 213 of the family's 1533-position model. The record is from RNAcentral.